This 65-nucleotide transfer RNA is filed under the name Ochthebius lederi. Its description in RNAcentral is "tRNA-Gly". The record is from RNAcentral. Lineage: Eukaryota; Metazoa; Arthropoda; Insecta; Coleoptera; Hydraenidae.
AUUUAUAUAGUAUAAUUAUUAUUUUUGACUUCCAAUCAAAAGAUUUAACUAAGUUAAUAUAAAUA